UACGCAGCCAAAAAAAACCAACCCGCAAAAACCUAUCGAUCCCCUCGACGACACAGAGCCGCCGCCCUCUCGUGCGAUCCGCUGCCGCCACCUCCGAUCCGCUCCUCCUCUCCCGAGGAUACGCAGCCGCAUCCGCCAACGCCGAUCCGGGCAGACUCGGCCGUCGUGGAUCACGAGGAUCCGGAUGAUGGGGCGGCAGAGAUGGCCACGGAUCUGUUACGGCGACGACGGCACCGGAUCCGCACCCGCAACAUCCGGAUGGAGGCCGGCGACGAACCCUAGCCUAGCCAUCAGCAUCGGGAUCCAACCCCUGCUCUCGGUGCUGGGGCAAGGCAUAUGGGGGUGCUUGCUGCCGCGGUGGACCUCGACGCCGGCGACAUCUGCAGCAUCUCCCUCCUGUCGGGCUGCAGGACCUGUACGCCCAAGGUACGCCUCCUCCUCCUUCCUUUCCCCUCCCUACCAAGACUGCAGCUUGCUGAUGUGUCGAUUAGUGGUAGUGAUGGAUCUAGGAUGAGGAUAAACUGGCGAAUAAUCCAUCAUGGAUACGCAGUGUGAUUAAAUCUCACUGGCAGUCUACACAACACUUGAUGGGAGUUUGAAAAUAACAGUCCAUAAUAAAGGGCCGUGGUGUCUACUAUGAUUUUCAGAAAGGUGAGUGCAUUUGUGAAGCUUCCUGCAGAGUUUCACAUGAUGAGUAGGUAAAUGUGCUGCUUGUGCAUUUACCAAGUAGUUAUAUAGGAGAGCACACAAGCAACAGACUACAUAGCUUGUGCUAAUUUCCAUGAUAAGUUUUAUCGCAUAUGAACAAGUUAUAUUGCCAGUUAAGUUAUUAAUAGAAAUUGAGUUGCUUAUCAUUGAGUAAAAGACAUUCCUUUAGAGUAUUUACAGUUUUAUACUAAUACUUUAUCAAGGUGAUAUGCUGAAGAUUUGUGAUUAUCACAGUAUGGCCUUUACAUUGCUUCUGUAUGAUCUGAACCUGUUGAGCUCAUCACAAAGACCAUAAAAAUUGGCUCUAUCCCUGAUGUCCAAUAAAAAAGGGGAACUAUGGCCUCAGAUCGAAAAAGUUUCUUUUCCUUUGUGAUUUUGCAGCGGGACUUGCUUAUGGAGACGUUCGCUCUGGGUCAAAGCUUAAGAGUAUUGAUGCUUUUGACCAUUUAAUUAGUGUUUAGGCCUGAAGCUUUUGGUCUCAGUCCGACAGCUAAAAGUUGCAUUGGCUUGUAAAAAACUUCAUGUGACUGGACCAGUAGGGGGAGGAUAGCUUCAUAUGGAAAAUAAUUCUCCAUGGGGGAGGAUUUCCACAGUAACCCUGGGCUGGUUAACCUAUUUGGAAUAGAAUUCCCUGAUUUGAAUAUCAAGCAUUCACAACUUCAGAAUACAUUGUCUCGAGGCCGGAUCAAGCGCAUCGCCGAUGCCACGAUCGCCGAUCUGCCGUGCUGCUCCUCUCAUGUGCGCCCUCGACGCUGACGCCGUCCUAUUUUCCGCAGCCAUCGCCGUCGGGCUCCGCGUCUACGCGCCCCUUCAAACCUACUGGAUGCAAUCUCGCAUUGCGCUGUCGUCCGCACUGUCUGGCACCACCUAUGGACACAGAACGACGGAUCAAGGUUUAAUGACUUUGAUCAGGCAAGAUACAUUCUGCCCGCUCAUCUCCCCGUGUUGCCGCUGGCUCCUGGACUGUGUCAUGGCCACACUGAAGACGGGACACUUGUGGUUAUCUUCAUGUGUCAUUGGUGGUCAGAGAAACCAAACAAAGCUGGAGUGAAAGGUCUAGGAGUUUCAAUACAGAACAAAGGGUCUACGAGUUUCAAUACAUUGUUGAAAAAUUGUGCCAAACAUUAAGGUUGAUUUCAGUUCCUUCACCCUUCUAGAGCAUAAGAAAAAUAUGGUGCUUUGCUUGAAAAAAAUGUGGCUUAAUUCUGGAAAGCAUUAAGUUUCCAUGCAUGCUGAUACUGAUCAAUCCAUAACUCUAAAAACAUGAUACCCUCUUUCACAUGCUUCAUAUAAGUUGUGCACAUGCCAUCUCGCCAAGCACUGAUAACAUGUUUUGUUUAACAGAUCAUCUGAGAUUUGCAUAAUUGUUUUGAGAAUGAGCAGGGCAGCAUCGACACCGGCCUCGAUCAGUGUUGGGGCAAUGGUGAACCAAUGAAGAAGCUUAAGGCGGCUCAGGUAGGGUGGCACACGAUAUUGACAUCGGCCACGACCAGCGUCGGAGGAUGGGUCAUUGGGACGGAAGGAGGAAGACAAAGAGGAGGAAGAAGACGAUGAUCACCAAAUUUUACCACCGAUAAAAAACAUGUGACCGAUGCAUAGUUGCUCUUAUAGUAUCUGCUAAAGAAAUUGAUAAAAGAUGAUAUAUAUUCGUAGGACUUCACUCAUGUCACUUAGUCACCAGUUUGAUUUAUUUUCCUGUAUUUUGCCCAGGCAACGCACGGGCAUUGUACUAGCAACCGGCUCCGGGCCCAGCCUACAUUAGUGGGUGUGUUAUGUAUUCGCAAGGUUGUGUCCAGUAUAAGACUUAAUUCCUUGUAACCAUAAAUGUGAGCUAGGAAGAAUAAAAUUUGUGCUCUAUUGAACUUA
Triticum aestivum (bread wheat) is the source of this 2574-nucleotide RNA transcript. RefSeq lists it as uncharacterized. The transcript is spliced from 5 exons. NCBI's taxonomy places the organism in Eukaryota, Viridiplantae, Streptophyta, Magnoliopsida, Poales, Poaceae. The record is from RefSeq and is a predicted model, not a curated record.